This 254-nucleotide ribosomal RNA is filed under the name uncultured bacterium. Its description in RNAcentral is "partial 16S ribosomal RNA". It matches the Rfam family "Bacterial small subunit ribosomal RNA", at positions 79 to 334 of the family's 1533-position model. The record is from RNAcentral.
CUUUGAUGGAUGGCGACCGGCGCACGGGUGAGUAACACGUAUCCAACCUGCCGACAACACUGGGAUAGCCUUUCGAAAGAAAGAUUAAUACCGGAUGGCAUAGUUUUCCCGCAUGGGAUAAUUAUUAAAGAAUUUCGGUUGUCGAUGGGGAUGCGUUCCAUUAGGCAGUUGGCGGGGUAACGGCCCACCAAACCAACGAUGGAUAGGGGUUCUGAGAGGAAGGUCCCCCACAUUGGAACUGAGACACGGUCCAA